This 497-nucleotide ribosomal RNA is filed under the name uncultured bacterium. RNAcentral describes it as "partial 16S ribosomal RNA". It matches the Rfam family "Bacterial small subunit ribosomal RNA", at positions 28 to 507 of the family's 1533-position model. The record is from RNAcentral.
GAUGAACGCUGGCGGCGUGCCUAAUACAUGCAAGUCGAGCGAACUGACGAGGAGCUUGCUCCUCUGACGUUAGCGGCGGACGGGUGAGUAACACGUGGAUAACCUACCUAUAAGACUGGGAUAACUUCGGGAAACCGGAGCUAAUACCGGAGAAUAUAUUGAACCGCAUGAUUCAAUAGUGAAAGACGGUUUUGCUGUCACUUAUAGAUGGAUCCGCGCCGCAUUAGCUAGUUGGUAAGGUAACGGCUUACCAAGGCAACGAUGCGUAGCCGACCUGAGAGGGUGAUCGGCCACACUGGAACUGAGACACGGUCCAGACUCCUACGGGAGGCAGCAGUAGGGAAUCUUCCGCAAUGGGCGCAAGCCUGAUGGAGCAACGCCGCGUGAGUGAUGAAGGUCUUCGGAUCGUAAAACUCUGUUAUUAGGGAAGAACAAAUGUGUAAGUAACUAUGCACGUCUUGACGGUACCUAAUCAGAAAGCAACGGCUAACUACGUG